This 466-nucleotide ribosomal RNA is filed under the name Peribacillus muralis. Its description in RNAcentral is "bacterial SSU rRNA". It matches the Rfam family "Bacterial small subunit ribosomal RNA", at positions 18 to 480 of the family's 1533-position model. Lineage: Bacteria; Bacillati; Bacillota; Bacilli; Caryophanales; Bacillaceae. The record is from RNAcentral.
CCCUGCUCAGGACGAACGCUGGCGGCGUGCCUAAUACAUGCAAGUCGAGCGAAUCGAUGGGAGCUUGCUCCCUGAGAUUAGCGGCGGACGGGUGAGUAACACGUGGGCAACCUGCCUAUAAGACUGGGAUAACUUCGGGAAACCGGAGCUAAUACCGGAUACGUUCUUUUCUCGCAUGAGAGAAGAUGGAAAGACGGUUUACGCUGUCACUUAUAGAUGGGCCCGCGGCGCAUUAGCUAGUUGGUGAGGUAAUGGCUCACCAAGGCGACGAUGCGUAGCCGACCUGAGAGGGUGAUCGGCCACACUGGGACUGAGACACGGCCCAGACUCCUACGGGAGGCAGCAGUAGGGAAUCUUCCGCAAUGGACGAAAGUCUGACGGAGCAACGCCGCGUGAACGAAGAAGGCCUUCGGGUCGUAAAGUUCUGUUGUUAGGGAAGAACAAGACCAGAGAACUGCUGGUACCU